RNAcentral lists this ribosomal RNA (248 nucleotides) under uncultured bacterium. RNAcentral's name for it is "partial 16S ribosomal RNA". It matches the Rfam family "Bacterial small subunit ribosomal RNA", at positions 796 to 1041 of the family's 1533-position model. The record is from RNAcentral.
CUAGCUGUAAACGAUGGAUGCUAGGUGUUGGCGGAUUUAACCCCGUCAGUGCCGAAGCUAACGCGUUAAGCAUCCCGCCUGGGAAGUACGAUCGCAAGAUUAAAACUCAAAGGAAUUGACGGGGACCCGCACAAGCAGCGGAGCGUGUGGUUUAAUUCGAUGCUACACGAAGAACCUUACCCAGAUUUGACAUAUAGGUGGUAGUGAACCGAAAGGGGAACGACCCGCAAGGGAGCCUAUACAGGUGU